Molecule: unclassified non-coding RNA, 202 nt
Filed under: Hevea brasiliensis (rubber tree)
Lineage: Eukaryota; Viridiplantae; Streptophyta; Magnoliopsida; Malpighiales; Euphorbiaceae
Source: RNAcentral
GCUAGCUCAACUUCUGCUUAAGAAUUCAGUAUUAGGGGGUUUAGGAUUUUCCUGUCUAUAAUGUCUAUGUUUUUAACCUGAUAUCCAUUGUUUUCUCAUCUCUUCAAGUCACAAGAUCACCAACUUAAUUAUACAAUAUCUUGAAGCUGUAGUUUAAACUUGCCCUAUAUGGGGUUCUUACUUCCACAUAAUCAUGUAAUAU